AGCAGCCGCGGUAAUUCCAGCUCCAAUAGCGUAUAUUAAAGUUGUUGCAGUUAAAAAGCUCGUAGUUGAAUUUUAGACCUGGCCAGGCGGUCCGUCUUUGGCGAGUACUGUUUUGUGUUGGGUCUUAUCUUCUGGUUAACCGGCAUGUUCUUCGCUGAGUGUGCCGUGGGAGCCAGGACCAUUACCUUGAAAAAUUAGAGUGUUUAAAGCGGGCAUUUGCUUGAAUAGAUUAGCAUGGAAUAAUAGAAUAGGACGUCGGUUCUAUUUUGUUGGUCUAGGACCACCGUAAUGAUUAAUAGGGAUAGUUGGGGGCAGUUAGUAUUCAAUUGUCAGAGGUGAAAUUCUUGGA
RNAcentral lists this ribosomal RNA (349 nucleotides) under uncultured Archaeospora. Its description in RNAcentral is "SSU rRNA". It matches the Rfam family "Eukaryotic small subunit ribosomal RNA", at positions 569 to 924 of the family's 1831-position model. The record is from RNAcentral. Lineage: Eukaryota; Fungi; Glomeromycota; Glomeromycetes; Archaeosporales; Archaeosporaceae.